Molecule: transfer RNA, 65 nt
Filed under: Fusobacterium polymorphum
Lineage: Bacteria; Fusobacteriati; Fusobacteriota; Fusobacteriia; Fusobacteriales; Fusobacteriaceae
Also listed under: 1 other name
Description: tRNA-Arg(tcg)
Rfam family: tRNA
About the family: Transfer RNA (tRNA) molecules are approximately 80 nucleotides in length. Their secondary structure includes four short double-helical elements and three loops (D, anti-codon, and T loops). Further hydrogen bonds mediate the characteristic L-shaped molecular structure. tRNAs have two regions of fundamental functional importance: the anti-codon, which is responsible for specific mRNA codon recognition, and the 3' end, to which the tRNAs corresponding amino acid is attached (by aminoacyl-tRNA synthetases). tRNAs cope with the degeneracy of the genetic code in two manners: having more than one tRNA (with a specific anti-codon) for a particular amino acid; and 'wobble' base-pairing, i.e. permitting non-standard base-pairing at the 3rd anti-codon position.
Source: RNAcentral
GGAGAGUUAGGAAAAUGGUAAUCUAGUCCUCGAGGUAUUUGUGGGUUCAAAUCCCACACUCUCCA